GAUGAACGCUGGCGGCGUGCCUAAUACAUGCAAGUCGAGCGAACAGACGAGGAGCUUGCUCCUCUGACGUUAGCGGCGGACGGGUGAGUAACACGUGGAUAACCUACCUAUAAGACUUGGAUAACUUCGGGAAACCGGAGCUACUACCGGAUAAUAUAUUGAACCGCAUGGUUCAAUAGUGUAAGACGGUUUUGCUGUCACUUAUAGAUGGAUCCGCGCCGCAUUAGCUAGUUGGUAAGGUAACGGCUUACCAAGGCGACGAUGCGUAGCCGACCUGAGAGGGUGAUCGGCCACACUGGAACUGAGACAAGGUCCAGACUCCUACGGGAGGCAGCAGUAGGGAAUCUUACGCAAUGGGCGAAAGCCUGACGGAGCAACGCCGCGUGAGUGAUGAAGGUCUUCGGAUCGUAAAACUCUGUUAUUAGGGAAGAACAAAUGUGUAAGUAACUAUGCACGUCUUGACGGUACCUAAUCAGAAAGCCACGGCUAACUACGUG
Molecule: ribosomal RNA, 497 nt
Filed under: uncultured bacterium
Lineage: Bacteria
Description: partial 16S ribosomal RNA
Rfam family: Bacterial small subunit ribosomal RNA
Source: RNAcentral